This 744-nucleotide long non-coding RNA is filed under the name Equus asinus (donkey). RNAcentral describes it as "lncRNA (ENSEASG00005034202.1)". The record is from RNAcentral. Lineage: Eukaryota; Metazoa; Chordata; Mammalia; Perissodactyla; Equidae.
AGUCAUACGACUGAGCACACCACCAAUUGGUACGGCCGUAUGCUCUGUAUCAAAAGUGGGAAUGGGAGAGAAAUGAAUAUUUGCUUAAAAUGAAUCCAAACUAUCAAAAGACCUUUCCAAGAAGGAAAACUCAAGUGUUCAUUUCAGCUGAAAGGGAGAUCACUAUUCCUGACUCAGAAAACAGGAGCCAUCACAGGACUUCUCCAUCAGUACCUUCUAACAGUUUGAUGGAUGUCAAAAGCUCCUUGGAUUGCCUCCCCUGAUUCCCACAUUGUGGAUUCCACUGUUAAAACAUCCUGUACACGGUCCGGAGCCGAAACACUGAGGUCCCUUUGGAGAUUCCAGCUUUGAAUGGAAAAUGAGCAUCUCUGCGACUUAAAACCACUUCACUGAGCAAUGGUUUGACCUCCAGCCUGCUUCUGUGUAAGAAUCAAUCAGUAACCAAUUUAGGUGAACUGGAUUUUCCAUCUUGUGGGCCCUGGUUCCUGGUUUCUUUUGCAACCAGAGUCUUGAAUCUGAGCAACUGUUCACUCUGGCCUCUGACCAGGAUCAGCAGAACUUAAGUCUACUCCAGCAGAAUGAGUGACCUAGGGACUUCUACGAAAAAAGGAUGUCAUAAAAAACUUUGUGAAAAAUGAAAUUUCUCUGCUUCUACUCUUAAAGUCUGUUCAUUUUGGAAACUAGGAAUUUUCUAGUAAAAAGAAAUUAAUGAAUAAAAUCAGCAAUUUCUAAUCUAUAUUUGUA